This 67-nucleotide transfer RNA is filed under the name Caudoviricetes sp. RNAcentral's name for it is "tRNA-OTHER". It matches the Rfam family "tRNA". From Rfam's summary of the family: Transfer RNA (tRNA) molecules are approximately 80 nucleotides in length. The record is from RNAcentral. Lineage: Duplodnaviria; Heunggongvirae; Uroviricota; Caudoviricetes.
GCUUCGUUGGCUUAGUGGUCAAAGCUUAUCUGACGAGAUGACGGAGGUUCGAAUCCUCCACGAAGCA